This 523-nucleotide ribosomal RNA is filed under the name uncultured bacterium. Its description in RNAcentral is "partial 16S ribosomal RNA". It matches the Rfam family "Bacterial small subunit ribosomal RNA", at positions 28 to 523 of the family's 1533-position model. The record is from RNAcentral.
GACGAACGCUGGCGGCGUGCCUAAUACAUGCAAGUCGAACGCUUUUUCUUUCACCGGAGCUUGCUCCACCGAAAGAAAAAGAGUGGCGAACGGGUGAGUAACACGUGGGUAACCUGCCCAUCAGAAGGGGAUAACACUUGGAAACAGGUGCUAAUACCGUAUAACACUAUUUUCCGCAUGGAAGAAAGUUGAAAGGCGCUUUUGCGUCACUGAUGGAUGGACCCGCGGUGCAUUAGCUAGUUGGGGAGGUAACGGCUCACCAAGGCAACGAUGCAUAGCCGACCUGAGAGGGUGAUCGGCCACACUGGGACUGAGACACGGCCCAGACUCCUACGGGAGGCAGCAGUAGGGAAUCUUCGGCAAUGGACGAAAGUCUGACCGAGCAACGCCGCGUGAGUGAAGAAGGUUUUCGGGUCGUAAAACUCUGUUGUUAGAGAAGAACAAGGAUGAGAGUAGAACGUUCAUCCCUUGACGGUAUCUAACCAGAAAGCCACGGCUAACUACGUGCCAGCAGCCGCCGCAG